RNAcentral lists this ribosomal RNA (253 nucleotides) under uncultured bacterium. RNAcentral's name for it is "partial 16S ribosomal RNA". It matches the Rfam family "Bacterial small subunit ribosomal RNA", at positions 524 to 776 of the family's 1533-position model. The record is from RNAcentral.
UACGAGUGCUUCGAGCGUUAUCCGGAAUCAUUGGGCGUAAAGGGUGCGUAGGCGGCGCGGUAAGUCGGGUGUGAAAUCUCGGAGCUUAACUCCGAAACUGCAUUCGAUACUGCCGUGCUCGAGGACUGGAGAGGAGACUGGAAUUUACGGUGUAGCGGUGAAAUGCGUAGAUAUCGUAAGGAAGACCAGUGGCGAAGGCGGGUCUCUGGACAGUUCCUGACGCUGAGGCACGAAGGCCAGGGGAGCAAACGGG